This is a long non-coding RNA of Eupeodes corollae, 378 nucleotides long. RefSeq lists it as uncharacterized. The record is from RefSeq and is a predicted model, not a curated record. Lineage: Eukaryota; Metazoa; Arthropoda; Insecta; Diptera; Syrphidae. The transcript has 2 exons.
AUCUUAGCAGUCAUUAUUUAUUAAAUAUUUUAAUAAGACCAGUUAUUCUCUAAAGAUCAAAACCUUGUAGGUAUUUAAAGCAUUUUAAUUGAUUUAAGAAAUAGGAAGGAUAGAUUAAAAGAUUAUAAAGCCGGAACUUGACUCGCAUAGGUCGUCUAUGUUACGUAAGUUGUGCAAAGGUCGAGACGUAAGAAACAUGACUUUCAGACAUUUGUUAAGUUGUUCUUAGCUCAUAACAUCAAUUACAUCGACUUAACAACAUAAUAAAAACCUUAGAUCGAGAGCAAUAAUGUCACCAGGUUUAGUGAACUGCGUACACGAGGUUGGAACUGAAAUGAAGACCGGUUGCACCCUUCGUAAAAAAACAUGCUUAGGUAA